Syngnathus typhle (broad-nosed pipefish) is the source of this 485-nucleotide long non-coding RNA. RefSeq lists it as uncharacterized. The record is from RefSeq and is a predicted model, not a curated record. Lineage: Eukaryota; Metazoa; Chordata; Actinopteri; Syngnathiformes; Syngnathidae. The transcript is spliced from 2 exons.
AAUGGAUUCUACAUCUGCUCAGAAGAGACCGACAUCUAGCAUGCCCCAGACACCCAGUUUCUCAGAGGAAGCCUAAAAAAAGGAAAACCCAUGCAUGUUUCUCUGAAUGUAACGGACAAUGACAUCCAUAAAUGUAAUUUAUAAUAUAGGUUGGUAAUAAUGAUUUGUUGACCUACCUUGCUGUCAUUGGUAACCUCAACAACAUUAAUGCCUGUGUGAAUGUCCAGAUCGGACAUCAGCAGUUUACGGGCCUGAGCUGAUUGCAGUGUACAAAGUGAGCACUGGCAAUUGUCUCUCAGCCACGUGAAGGGAUACAAGUUUUGCCCUCCAUCUUCCCACUCAACCUCCACCAGCCGCUCUUCAUCCAGUGCUCGGGCAUGUCUCACAGAGUGGCUGGCCACAGAGAAGGAAGAUGAACCCAAAGUCUGCUGUCCACGAAGCUGCACAAGUGUCGGAUUAACAGACGAUGGAUGUGAAACCUUUUG